RNAcentral lists this unclassified non-coding RNA (347 nucleotides) under soil metagenome. RNAcentral's name for it is "partial contains 5.8S ribosomal RNA, internal transcribed spacer 2, and large subunit ribosomal RNA". The stretch from base 1 to 120 matches the Rfam family "5.8S ribosomal RNA", at positions 35 to 154 of the family's 154-position model. The record is from RNAcentral.
GAUGAAGAACGUAGCGAAAUGCGAUAAGUAAUGUGAAUUGCAGAAUUCCGUGAAUCAUCGAGUCUUUGAACGCACAUUGCGCCCCCUGGUAUUCCGGGGGGCAUGCCUGUCCGAGCGUCAUUGCUGCCCUCAAGCACGGCUUGUGUGUUGGGCUUCCGUCCCUGGCAACGGGGACGGGCCCAAAAGGCAGUGGCGGCACCAUGUCUGGUCCUCGAGCGUAUGGGGCUUUGUCACCCGCUCCCGUAGGUCCAGCUGGCAGCUAGCCUCGCAACCAAUCUUUUUAACCAGGUUGACCUCGGAUCAGGUAGGGAUACCCGCUGAACUUAAGCAUAUCAAUAAGCGGAGGA